CGUUCAGGGGUAAACCUAAGAAACCCAAAAGAUCGAACGGGGAGAUUCAUCGUCAGCGGCGUUGGCUUCGCGUCGGUGGGCGAUGUCCCGCGGUUUCUCGCGCGGGCACGCUACCGUGCGCGCAUGACCGGCGUCGUCGUCGUGCACUUCUCCCCUAGUAGAACGUCGCGACCCGCUGGGUGUCGGUCUACGGCCCGGGUGAGGUGACUGUCGCGUCGCCGGUAAAACGGCACGCGGCAAACCCUCGGACGCCCGGCCGGCUGCCCGGCGGUACUCGCACGGUAUCAGGCCGCAGUUUAUCUGCGUCAAGCCCGUCGCAAGCGCGCGCCACGGUUACUCGGAGGUACGGACCUAGCGCCGUCCCCGGUCCUGGUCCGCUGUUGGCCGACGGUGACCCUUUGACAGGCCUUACGGGGCGACGUGGGGGGCGUUAGCCGUUCCACGCUCGCCCUGAUACCGGUCGGCGACGCUACUGCUUUGGGUACUCUUAGGACCCGUCUUGAAACACGGACCAAGGAGUCUAACAUGUGCGCGAGUCAUUGGGACUAGCAAAACCCAAAGGCGCAAUGAAAGUGAAGGUCGGCCUUGGCGCCGACCGAGGGAGGAUGGGCCGCGUCGCGAUGCGGCCUCGCACUCCCGGGGCGUCUCGUUCUCAUCGCGAGAAGAGGCGCACCAAGAGCGUACACGUUGGGACCCGAAAGAUGGUGAACUAUGCCUGGUCAGGACGAAGUCAGGGGAAACCCUGAUGGAGGUCCGUAGCGAUUCUGACGUGCAAAUCGAUCGUCGGAACUGGGUAUAGGGGCGAAAGACUAAUCGAACCAUC
RNAcentral lists this ribosomal RNA (823 nucleotides) under Odontomachus sp. VIET001. Its description in RNAcentral is "eukaryotic LSU rRNA". The stretch from base 511 to 823 matches the Rfam family "Eukaryotic large subunit ribosomal RNA", at positions 665 to 944 of the family's 3401-position model. The record is from RNAcentral. Lineage: Eukaryota; Metazoa; Arthropoda; Insecta; Hymenoptera; Formicidae.